CUUUUGAAAAAUAAAUAUGCUAUGAUGCAAAUGAUGCAGAUUGGACUGGCUGGUUGUGCAAACUCUGAUCACUAGGUCGAAGCUUCAGUCAAAAUCAGAACCCAAAUCCAACUUAAGAACCCAAGGUCAACUGAAUAUACUGUUGUCUGAACUGAGAGUCACCAACAGAACCAAAAGUCACCAACGGUACCUGUAAUGAUCAACCCUUCCCCACUCACGGGUGU
RNAcentral lists this long non-coding RNA (224 nucleotides) under Lathyrus oleraceus (garden pea). Its description in RNAcentral is "Pisum sativum (pea) long non-coding RNA (PSAT_LNC027133)". The record is from RNAcentral. Lineage: Eukaryota; Viridiplantae; Streptophyta; Magnoliopsida; Fabales; Fabaceae.